CACGCCAGGGAGGUUUGUGGGGAACUGCAGCCCGCGGAAGGGACUCACGUUGGAGACGUUCGUGGGGGACUGUCUCCCGUGGGAGGGACACCACGGUAGAUCAGGGGAAGAGUG
Long non-coding RNA from Aquila chrysaetos chrysaetos, 114 nucleotides. RefSeq lists it as uncharacterized. The transcript has 3 exons. Lineage: Eukaryota; Metazoa; Chordata; Aves; Accipitriformes; Accipitridae. The record is from RefSeq and is a predicted model, not a curated record.